RNAcentral lists this long non-coding RNA (37800 nucleotides) under Nicotiana tabacum (common tobacco). Its description in RNAcentral is "long non-coding RNA (NTAB_LNC007760)". The record is from RNAcentral. Lineage: Eukaryota; Viridiplantae; Streptophyta; Magnoliopsida; Solanales; Solanaceae.
UUGUUGUGACCUGAUAUUUAAUGACUUGGAGGAGGAUUCUACGAGCUUAGAAUGAUCAGGAGGUGCAGAAGUGGGUUUGCAUGGAAGAGAAUCAGGUUAUUUAGAAGGUUUUAAUGAGAACGUCUCAUGAGCCAAAGACUCAAGGAGUACUAUUGUUCUUACAUCUCCUAGGAAUGGAGUUUUUUUCCCUUGAUACCCAGAUGAGAGAUACGCUCUUUUAUUCAUCAGACUCUCAGCAAUGAUAGCUAUGAUGUUAUGCGUUGCUUCCUUUUCUGGUGACUCUGAAAGAGUUACUAAGUCCAGGACGAAGGAGUUCAGAUAUUGGUCAGGAUCAUCCUCAAAAACUUCUAGCACUUGAGAGGUAAAACCUCCUAAGUGUACUUUGAUGAGAUCAUAGGAAUGGCUAGACAUAGGGUUUUCAAAACGAGAGAGAAUAGGGUUUAUUAGAAAAGGGAAAACUGUAGGAAAGGAGGAGGAGAUAAGAAUGGGUAAAGUAGUAGAAUGAGUGAAAUAGUGAAGCUCUAGGGAUGAUUUCAAGGAUAAUAAGGAAGUGGGAGUGGUGUUAAUGGUGGGAGAAGGAGGCGAUUGUUCGAUUGCCAUUAUAGGAGUACUUGGAAGACGAGUAGAGUGAGAGAUAGAGAUAAAGAGAGGAUCACAGGUACACAAAAGAGAUGAAGGUUCAUGACUUGCUAUGAGAGAAAAAGAAAGUUUUAUUGGAAGAAGGGUUAAUGAUGAGAGGAGAGACAAAUAGGUUCUGAAUAGUUCUGAAAACGGCAGUAGGUUUGUGGGAAAACGUUACCGUGCAGAGGGGAUAAAAGGAUUUGAAAGACAAGACAUGGCAUGCAGACUUUGAAAAGUUGGAUGAUGUGGCAGUUGAAUUAAUUUUGUUAAUUUGUUUUGUUUUGUGAAGGCAUGCAUAAUAAGCAUAUUACUACAAACCUGGGGUACAGGAACCUGAUGCCAGACCAAUUUUUUGAAAACGGUUUUAGCAGCUCCUAUCUCACAGUUCAUACUGUACCUUUAGCUUCUAUGAUCGUCAUGCGUGUUUACCUGCAAUGGUAUUGAUGUGAGUUAGGGUUGAUCAUAAAACACUUUAGCUAACUUUACCUGACGGUGUCUUGCAUAGCCAGUUGAUAGAAGAUCAGGUUCUUUAGUAGACUCUUAUGACCUCAUCUUCACCUUGUUUGAUCCAGAAUAUUCUCUACUCAAGGCUUUGACAAAGAUAUCUGGAAUUUGGUCUUCUGUUUUGGAAGACUUUCCAUAGAUCAACCCUUUUUUCAUAUUGACCCUCAAAAGAUAAUCCCACCCCUCAAUGUGCUUGGUCCUCUUGUUUUGAGAUUCUUUUUCAGUUGUUGACGAGGCCAUUGAGUUUUGCUUCCUUGUCCCCCAAGGGAUGAGGCAUGAUCAUGGCAAGUGAACCGUUCUAGAAGUGCUUUUCCUUUUCACAGAAAAAACUGCACAGUUAACAUCAUCAUACCUAAUAGGAUUAAAAACGUUGUCACCUGAGGGGUAACACGGAACCAGGUCCUGAGUUCCCUUAAGGUAUCUCAAACUUCUAUGGGCAUCCUUUAGGGAGAGAUUCUUUCUCUUUACUAGAGCCAAGACUGUACGAGGAGAGAAAGACUUAAGUCGACUCAAGUGGAAAUAAUCAGACUGCUUCCAUACCUUAUCUCAGGUUACCCCUUAGUGCGGGUAUGGGGCACUUCGUCAGUGGUGGUUCAUUUAGCAAGCAGUCUUAUUGCUUGAAAGCUUCCGUCUUUCUCAAAAGGGCCCUCUUCCUAUUUAGGGGGUUGAACGUGGGGGUUGUUCUUAUUUUACCGGAGGGGUUUGAAUUAGCUCCUCCCGAUUGUAUCUCUCAAAAGAACCAAAUUCUUGUUAGCGAUUAUUUAUGAUAAAAAAUUUCAAGUAGGAUUCCUACUGACUUUCACUUUGGAUUCUAUUCUAGAGUGGUGAUACAGAAGGAACUAGGGAAAAAUGUUUUUUUUUUUUGAAAAAAAACUUAUCCAACUCUAGAAUAAAAGAAAGUGAUGAUGGGAGCUUUUGUGUUUCCAGUUUGGGACUGAAGUUUGAUUGGUAGGGGAGAUUUGGAAGAAUUUGAUUUCCCCACACUCUGUGUUCUGUUUCUUGAGAGGUGCCAUGAGUUGCAUCUCCACUCUUUCUUCAGCUUUAGUGGAAGUAAGUGAAGUACCAUGUUCCUUGUGAGAAGUGGAAUAUGAUGUUGCAUUGUCUUUCACCAGUCUCCUUCAUCUUACUCAUUUUAUCAGCCUUGCCUAUUUGAAGUCUAAGAUAUUUCCCAAGGACCAGAGUUGGUUCAUCAUAUUGAUCAUCACCGUUUCUUCCUUGGCUAGAGGAAGGUGUCUUGUUGAAUACCCCAUGAGCACUUCCUUCCAUUUAGUGUGACCUUUGUUGUAGAAUUUGUGACCUUGCUUUGUGGAGAUUACCCCAGAAGGAUUCCUUCGUUCGUCUUUUGCAUUGAAAUUCCCAAGCUGAUCUUUCUCGUUGUUGAGAACAUGGCAUUUUCAGUCAAGAAGGUUCUCAGAUGAGUUGUCUUUCAGUCAAGAAGGUAUUUUCUUCCAUUUGGCAGCUCAAAGUGGGUUUUGAUUCAGGGGGACCUGAUCAGACACCUGUUCACCAAGUAGAAAGCAGUAUUUACUACUUUUGCCCGGAAUUUCUUGGUGAUUCCAUAGUCAAUGAGCAUUGUCCAUGACAUAUCUUCCAGUUCCGUUCUUUCUUACAGCAAUACCAUUUUGCUGUGGAGUCCUUGGUGUAGAGAAAUUAUGCGUGAUCCCUCCUUUUUUUGCUUUCACUUGAAUCUUCUUGACAAGAACCAUUAACACCUCGAGAGUCUCCUCCAUUGUUUUGUGGACCUGUGUCCAGGUGACUCAUGAGUUUGGCAGACCACGCACCAGGUCCUUCUGAGUUAAUUUAUUCAGAGGUGUGAAGCUUGCAUACACCAAUCUUUCAUGCCAAUUUUCCGACUUCACCCAUCUCAUACCUGUCGCGCCCCCUUUUUCUCGCGAAAUCGGGUUUAUGAUAUUUGGGAGGACAACUCAUUCCCUUUUGGGAAUUUGGGUUAGCAUUUGAAGAGUCGCCACCUAAUGAUUAAUGUGCAUUAGGACACCAAGAAGGUUUGAUUUGAGUAACCAGAGAUUAGGUAAGGGCUUGAAAUUAUUCCAAGGGGAAGGUGUUAGGAACCCCUAAGUAUCCACUAGUGUGGUUCCCGACCAGACUAUUAUUGUGAAUUUAGGUGCAAAUAACAUGUAGGCGAAUAGAACUUCAAAUAAAAGGGAAUUUUCACAUAAUGGUUACAAACAAAAUUGGAAAGAAUUAAAAGGAAGCUGAUUUUCUUAAAAGAAAUAGUUUGAAAUCUUUAUAAGAAACAAAGAAACAAAAGGAAAAAGGGGGGUCCUAGGUUUAUUAAUAAUAUGGAUCACCCCACAUAACAUCCAGUAAUCACUCCUCAGUGAGGGGCUACACGAGACGUUAUCGCAUGGUCAUCAUAUCCAUAUCUACCUUUUCCCACCCUGUUGAGGUAUUAAAGCGCGAAAUGGUCUCGAUUGCUUAUUGCAUGCUAUUACCCUCCCAAUCCUAUCAGUCUGGAGGCAUUAGGAAUACUAAUCCUAAUAGGGAGGGAUAUUAGGCUUAUUUGUAGUUUGAAAGGUAAAAUUCUAAGGCGACAUACAAAAAACAUGUAUAGCAAGUUGGGGAAAGCACAUAACAAGUAAAAGGCUCAGAUAUACCCCCUCGAACAAAGAAAGCAUAUAAUUAGAAUGACUUUCACAUACUGUUUAUGGUCUGAGAAAGAACUUAAAGGUUGAGGCAAACUGAUUUAUUACAUAAUUCAGCUAAGAAGCCCGAGUCAGGCCAGCCUGCUGGUUGUAGUUAAUAACACAGAUUUAGUUUAUAACUUUUAUCUUAAGGCUUGCUUGAGUGUUGGACAAGGAUCCUAUAGGCAUGGUAUCUAUUGAAUUCAGGAAAGCCAUGAAAUAAUAAGGCCUAAAAAAUAAAUUGAGUACAUGCUGGUAAAAAAGGGAAGUCAGAGAAAGCGCACUUUAAUGAAAGUUAUAGGCUCUGAAACUGAUGAUACUCGUUAUUACUGAUUUUAUAUCUAACAUUAAGUGAGGCGAAUCAGAUUCAAUUAGAAACUCCUAUAGGCAUGCUUUCUAGGCGUUACUGAUUUUAAAACCUUGAAGACGUAGUAUAAAAUGAAGAAGACUCAUUUUAAACCUAUACACAUGAUAUCUAGAUGCUGAAUUCUGUUUAAGACAUGAUGCCCAAGUGCAAUUGAAUGUUUAAGUCCUAUGAGCAUGGUAUCUAGGUGCAGACAUUUGUUUAAGACCUAUAAACAUGAUUUCUAUAUGAGAAAAUGGAUAUACAGGAUUCAGAAAGACCUAUAGGCAUAUUUUCUAUAUGCAUAUGCAGAAUUCAGAUUGACUUAUAUGCAUGAUUUCUAGACGAGAGUAGUAGACCUAUGAUCAUGAUUUCUAUAUGAAAAAUGGACAUUCAGAAUUCCCUAUAGAUGUGCUUUCUAUAUGCAUUUGAGUGUGUAGAAUUCGAAAACCUAUAUACGUGGUAUCUAUGUGAGAAUACAGAAUUCAGAAUUCCUAUAGGCAUGACAUCUAUGUAAAAGUGCAGAAUUCAGAAAUACCUAUAGGCAUGGCAUCUACCCUUUGCAUACAUAGUUACCCGCCCUUUCACUAACCAGCCCAAAUGUUUAUUACAAAAUUAUUAUAGCCCAAAAUAAAGUGAAAUACAUCAGAAAAAAAUAAAAGUACAACCAAAAGAGAGCCAGAUUCAAACUUCAUGUCUGAAAUAUGAGGUAAACCAACUCCAUAAAAUCAAGAUCCAAAGCCUUUCUCCCAUUCGAGUGUGUCAAGUUCCCUAAGAGCCUCAAAAGGACUCCGAGCAAUGCUUACACCCAAAUGUAUUAUNNNNNNNNNNNNNNNNNNNNNNNNNNNNNNNNNNNNNNNNNNNNNNNNNNNNNNNNNNNNNNNNNNNNNNNNNNNNNNNNNNNNNNNNNNNNNNNNNNNNNNNNNNNNNNNNNNNNNNNNNNNNNNNNNNNNNNNNNNNNNNNNNNNNNNNNNNNNNNNNNNNNNNNNNNNNNNNNNNNNNNNNNNNNNNNNNNNNNNNNNNNNNNNNNNNNNNNNNNNNNNNNNNNNNNNNNNNNNNNNNNNNNNNNNNNNNNNNNNNNNNNNNNNNNNNNNNNNNNNNNNNNNNNNNNNNNNNNNNNNNNNNNNNNNNNNNNNNNNNNNNNNNNNNNNNNNNNNNNNNNNNNNNNNNNNNNNNNNNNNNNNNNNNNNNNNNNNNNNNNNNNNNNNNNNNNNNNNNNNNNNNNNNNNNNNNNNNNNNNNNNNNNNNNNNNNNNNNNNNNNNNNNNNNNNNNNNNNNNNNNNNNNNNNNNNNNNNNNNNNNNNNNNNNNNNNNNNNNNNNNNNNNNNNNNNNNNNNNNNNNNNNNNNNNNNNNNNNNNNNNNNNNNNNNNNNNNNNNNNNNNNNNNNNNNNNNNNNNNNNNNNNNNNNNNNNNNNNNNNNNNNNNNNNNNNNNNNNNNNNNNNNNNNNNNNNNNNNNNNNNNNNNNNNNNNNNNNNNNUCACAAGAGGGGGCAGAACUUAAAGACUAAACGGGAGUGCAAGUGCAGAAAAGAAUUCUGAGAGAGGGAAAGGGGAAGAGAAGCAACUACAAAUAAAUACACAUAGGGGCACAGAGGAACGGGGAGGUUGUAAUGAGCCAAGGGCAGGCUGUGGGCAUACCCAGCAUGGUGAAUGCUAGCACACCCAUAAGCCUGUUAGAACACACUAUUAGAGGCUAGGAUCCCAAAGGAUCAAGCUUAAUUCAUGGACAAUAAUUUGCAUAUUGCCAUGCCUUAAGCCAUAGCUCAAACACAUAGGGGGCAGGGGUUUGGGAUCCAUAAUAGAAACAUGCAGAAAGAAAUCAGCAAGCUAAUUUAAGUGUUGAACUAUACAGAAAUAGUAAGUAGGCAUGGAUACAAAAACAGUAAAUAAACACGUUGUCGUGGUGCUAAAGCUUAAACCAGACAUACCAGUUUCAAAGAAAUAAAUAGAGAAAAGCAGUAGGUCUUGUAAACAGGCCACGAUGCAAGCAAAUAAGAGAGAAUACUAUUGUGUGUAAGUGUAGUUUCAAAAGAAAACUAUGAGUGAGUGAUCCUUUCUUUUUUGUGCUAAUGAAAGAGUAGUGUAUUUAUAGUGUGAAAAAUAGGCAGAAAGAAGGUAAGAAAACAAUUAAGGGACUGGGGUAUCAAAUAAAAAUCAAUCAAUACAAAAUUUUCCUUAAUUAAGGAACUCAUAUUCAAACGGGAAAACUAUUUAAGGGAAGAAAUCAAAUAAACAUCUUGUGCAAAGCAUGCAAUUAGGGGUAAAUACAUAAGAAGCUACUUAACGACAGAAUUUUGAAAUACACAGUUACAAAAAUAAGGUAAGAAAAAUCAAUUAGUAGCCAGUAAAUCAAGGAUCAGUGAUUUUGUAAUCACUGGUCCAUGAGUGAACCAAGUCAGAAAAGCUGAGAAAAGUUUUAACUUAAGUCGAGUCACAUGGAAAUCAGCCAACAAGGAAAGAAAUCAAUCAAACCUAUACAGAAGGAAGUCUGAACUAAUCACAAAUUUGAAAGCCAUUUUAAAGGGAAGUUCAGCACAUAUAAAGAGCAUACAAACAUGCUAAGCUGAAAGAAAAUGAAGUGUCAUUGCAAAAUCAGUAGAUAGUAGACUACAGGAGCAUGGUAGUCACAUAGGUUAGCAAUGUAGAAGAGAAGUAGAAUCAAAUAGCAUACAAAAGGUCCAGUGUAAAAGACCUUAGAAGAGUUUAGUGGAAAAUUAAAAUUGCUUAAAGAGACAGAGGUUGAAAUAAAGAUUUCGAGACUCAGUUGAGAAACAAAUUCAGAAACACGAAAUAGUUAGGGUUUCUUAAAUCAGAUGGUUUUAAAGAUGAAGGACAAACAUAUCACAUAGGCAAUGUUCUCAAACUCGGAUGAACCCCAAAUUUUAGGGUUUUACCAUCAAUCGAGUGCCAAGAUGAGAGGACAAGUAAUUAAGAAGAAGAUACUAGUCGAAAACAAGUUAAAAGAUCUCAGAAGGGAACUGGGCCUUCGACAUGCUUUUUCAAUAACGAAAACUCAUGAGAAACAUAGUAAAAGAGUAACAUGCAAAUCACAGUAGAAGAGCUCAAAGAAACAUAGUAGAAGAAGCUAAUAAGAAACAUAGUAGAAGAAGACUAAUCAAAACACAGUAGGUGAAACAUAUAAAGAAGCAUGGUAGAAGAAACUAAUUAAGAACACAGUGGAAGAAACUUAAUAAAAACUCACAGAGAACACAGUAGAAGAAACGUAGUAAAAAAACAUACAAAAGAAAAAGAAAAUCAGAGAGGCCUCUAAAUAACUCAGAAACCCUAGGUCGGAAAAAAUAAAGUGUUUUGAAAACAUAGCUUUGAAAGAAAUAUCAAGAAAUUCGUUUAAAAACUUAGGGAAAACAUGGAUCUGGAAUAGAUCUAAAGAGAUCAGAAAAAUCUCAAAAGCUAGGGUUUCAGAGGAAUCCAAACUGUGAGAAAGGCCUGGACCAGGCUCGAAACAGACGUAGCUUGCCGGAGCAAGGCCAGAGAUGGCCAUAAAACUCGAAUAAAUAAGGCCGGGAUGAAGCUUCUUCGUGGUCAGGGCAUGAAACCUCAGCAAACGAGCGUGUAUGCACCAUGGAAGGUUGGCAGGUGGUGAGACCACCAUAGAUUCAGGCCAGGAGAUGGCCGGAAAAGAUGGAUGAGACUCAUCGGAGAGGGGGGAAGGGGAAGGUUCUAGAGAGAACCAGAGAUAGAGAGAUAGAGAGAGAGUCGGUUGAGUGAGGGAAAUGAGACGGGUUUGGGAGGGUCGUUUGGUUUAAUUUAGGAAGGAUGAAUGGUGGUCGUUGAUCAUUUUGAUCAACGGCAUGGAUUAAAUGGGAUUCGGGCGGGUCAUUCAAAUGGUUUGUAGGUCAGGUAGAUUUAGGAUUUGGGUUGGGUAAUUGGGUUUGACAUUGGGUUUAAUUAGGGGUUCAAAUCUGGCCAAAAUUGAAAUGAAAUGGGCUAACAUUUAAAUAGCCACUUUUUCCCUUGUUUAGUUUAUAAAAAUAGUAAAAUAAUUUCUGGGAGUAAAUUAAAGGUACUAAAAUGAUUAAUAGUACAUAAUUAUCCAACUAAAAAAACUGAAGUUAAUCUUGUAAAUAUAAACACCAUUAAAUCUUUAAAAAGGCUAAUAUCGCAAUUACGUACAAUUUAGCUUUAAAAAUACUAAAUAAAUUUAUAAAAAAUAUGAAAAAAUUAUGUUAGCUAUAUUUAAUGCAAAUAUGAGAAUCUAAUAGAUGAAUCACCAAAAUGAUAAUUUUGGGAACAAUUAUUGGGUUUUCUUGCUAAAAUAAGUCAAUAAAUUGAUUUAAAAAUCCUUAAAAUUAAGAGAAAAAAUACUAAAACCUUGGGACAUACUUAUAUAUGCAUAUUCAUGCUAUUUUGAAAGUAUUUUGCAUAUUUAAAAAUAUACAGAAAAAUUGGGUAUCAACAGCUGCCCCUCUUUACCCGGGAAGGAUGAAAGAGUUGUCGAGUAAAGAUAUGAUAGCCAAUUUUGACCGGAUGAAAGGGUUCAAGGAGACUUAGGCCAUACUAUGGUUUUUGAGCUGCCUACAUGUCCCUAGUUUUACAGAAAUCAGGCCAUAUCUAGUUCAGGAUCCGUCGGCGGAGUAGGCCUGAUAGAGACUUUCAAGAACGGACGCAAUAUUCAGGUUGGGUGGAUGGCUGAAAUCUGAUAGGGAUGCGGGAACUGGAGUGGGAUCACUCCUGCUGAGAUGGUCGUUGUUCGCUGGUUUACCUGCAAAUAAGCAUAUAUUGUGCGUAAAAUUAAAAUGAUGCAAAUUCCCGUCGGACCAUGGAUGUUUGUCGUCGGACGGUUAGGAUGACGUCCUCAGACCAUGGUGUCCUGGGCCAUAAAGCGUAUAAUAAAGGAUUCGCAGGCCAUGAAAUGAUGCUCUCGGGCUAUGAGAAUGAUGCCUCCGAACCAUGAUGCCUUUGAAUAAUGAUAUGCAAGGGAUUAAAAGGGAAAGGGGGUCCUCAGGCCAUGGCAUGGUGUUCUCGAGCUAUGAAAAUGGUGCCUCCGAACAAUGACGCCUUUGGAUAAUUUGGCUAUCUUUCAACCCAUGAAAUGCAACAGGUGGCGAUCUUUCAGCCCAUGAGAUGCAAAUGUAGAGGUGUAGAUCUUUCGGUCAUGCAAAUGUAGAGGUGGAGACCCUUUAGCCAUGCAAACAUAAAUAAGGUGGCGAUCUUCAGCCAAUGCAAAUGUAAAUAAGGUGGCGAUCUUUUAGCCAAUGCAAAUGUAAAUAAGGUGGCGAUCUUUCAGCCAAUGCAAAUGUAAAUAAGGUGGAUGCAAAUGUAAAUAAGGUGGCGAUCUUUCAGCCAAUGCAAAUGUAAAUAAGGUGGCGAUCUUUCAGCCAAUGCGUAGAGGUGGCNNNNNNNNNNNNNNNNNNNNNNNNNNNNNNNNNNNNNNNNNNNNNNNNNNNNNNNNNNNNNNNNNNNNNNNNNNNNNNNNNNNNNNNNNNNNNNNNNNNNNNNNNNNNNNNNNNNNNNNNNNNNNNNNNNNNNNNNNNNNNNNNNNNNNNNNNNNNNNNNNNNNNNNNNNNNNNNNNNNNNNNNNNNNNNNNNNNNNNNNNNNNNNNNNNNNNNNNNNNNNNNNNNNNNNNNNNNNNNNNNNNNNNNNNNNNNNNNNNNNNNNNNNNNNNNNNNNNNNNNNNNNNNNNNNNNNNNNNNNNNNNNNNNNNNNNNNNNNNNNNNNNNNNNNNNNNNNNNNNNNNNNNNNNNNNNNNNNNNNNNNNNNNNNNNNNNNNNNNNNNNNNNNNNNNNNNNNNNNNNNNNNNNNNNNAGACAGAGCUUAGUCUCGGAAGGCAGAAUGGUAGCCUUAUGCAACGUAGAAAUGCAGAUAGAGACAUAGCUUAGUCUCGGAAGGCAGAAUGGUAGCCUUAUGCAAUGCAGAAAUGCAGAUGGAGACAGAGCUUAGUCUCGGAAGGCAGAAUGGUAGCCUUAUGCAGGAAGUAAAGGAAAAUAAUAAUAGAAUUUUCUUAGCUGAUAGCGGAUUGCGAUAUUGCGACUGCUGGGGAUAUUGUAUCUUCCAGGGACACUGCGUGCAGAUAGCAACUGUGAGUAAGGGCAACGGUUCUGAGAGUCAUAUUUCUGAGCAAUGUGAGUCUCGUGAGUGUAUAGUAUAUUUGAUGAUUUUGCAAGUCAAGUGCCUGCAUCCAAAGAAAAAUUGUGAGUUUUGUAGAAGGGGGAGGUUAGUUCGUAUCCCCGUUAGCUCUGCUUGACCUACUCAGCUUGGAUCUAGUGAUACUAUAUGUAUCAUUGAGGUAACGUUUCUAAAUAAAGCGAUUUCAGAAAUAAACAUGCAUGAUUUACUAAAAAAAGACAUAAGUAUAUAAUCAAGAACAACUUUUAGAUAAACAGGCGACUGUGACGUGGUCCAAGACAUUGCAACCUUCCUUGUUACGGAAUUUUGAGGGUCCUCCUCAAAACUUUGCCCCAGUUUACUGGGUUGCUACUUCUGACUGCUGCUAGCGAUGAUUGGCUGAAAUUAACAUUGGAAUUUUGAGGGUCCUCCUCAAAAUUCUACCCCAGAUUCCAAUUGCGGGGGGAAAUGAAAGUUUUGUUGAAUUGUGAUCGAACCCAUAGAGAUGCCUACGUAUCCCCUCUUUAAUGGGAAUCAGGUCAGGCGUAGUUCAAAUUACAUCACAAAGGAAAGCAUAAAGAUUACACAUAGUAGCGCUUGACUGCAUCUGAAUGAUCGGCUUUGGCCAGACUUUUCCGUCCAUUUCCGCAAGUGUGAGGGCUCCUCCUGUUAGAACCCGGUGAACCAUGUAUGGACCCUUCCAGUUGGGAGAGAAUUUUUCUUUGGCUUCGUCUUGAUACGGGAAAAUUUUCUUUAACACUAGCUACCCCGGUGUGAACUGUCUUGGCUUGACUCUUUUGUUGAAGGCUCUAGACAUCCUGUUCUGAUAAAGCUAACCGUGGCAAACUGCAUUCAUUCUCUUUCCAUCUAUAAGAGCUAGCUGCUCGUAACGAUUCUUUACCUAUUCUGCAUCGUCUAGCUUUGCUUCCUGUAUGAUUCUUAAUGAGGUAAUUUCCACCUCGGCAGGAAUGACGGCAUCUGUACCAUAAACUAGCAUAUAAGGUGUUGCCCCGUUGAUGUGCGUACUAUGGUGCGGUACCCCAAUAAAGCAAAUUAUAGCUUCUCGUGCCACUACUUAUGCUUCUAUAUCAUUUUCCUUAGUAUCUUCUUAAUAUUCUUAUUGGCGGCUUAUACUGCUCCGUUCAUCUGAGGUCUGUAGGCUGUAGAAUUCUUGUGUUUGAUCUUGAAGGUUUCACACAUGGAUUUCAUCAGGUCAUUGUUGAGAUUGGAACCAUUAUUAGUGAUGAUUGAUUCCGGAAUCCCAAACCGACAAACGAUACAGUCGCGGACGAAGUCUGCCACAACUUUCUUAGUCACUGCUUUGUAAGAUACUGCUUUGACCCAUUUGGUGAAAUAUUCGAUUGCUACUAGGGUAAACAUGUGCCUGUUGGAGGCAGCAUGCUCGAUUGGUCCAAUAACAUCCAUUCCCCAAGCAGCGAACGGCCACGGUGAGCUUGUUGCAGUAAGCUCGCUUGGAGGUACCUUUAUCAUGUCUGCAUGUAUCUGACAACGGUGGCAUUUCCGGACAUACUGGAUGCAGUCCGUCUCCAUAGUUAUCCAAAAGUAACCAACACAGAGUAUCUUCUUUGCUAAGACAAAACUGUUCAUAUGUGGGCCGCAGGUCCCAGCAUGGAUUUCUUCUAGUAGUUUAGAUAUUUCCUUCGCGUUGACACACCUUAGUAAUCCCAAAUCAGGAGUCCUCCUAUAUAGGAUUCCUCCGCUGUGAAAGAAAUUAUUGGAAAACCUUCGAAGUGUGCGCUUCUGAGUAGUGUUCUCAAGUUCUAGGUAUUCCCCUUUUGCCAAAUAUUCCUUGAUAUCAUGAAACCAAGGCUUUCCAUCUGCUUCUUCUUCAACAUGAGCACAGUAAGCUGGCUGAUCAUAGAUCUUUACCGGAAUGGGAUCAAUGAAGUUCUUGUGUGGAUGUUGUAUCAUUGAUAAUAGGGUGGCCGAUGCAUCGGCGAACUCAUUCUAGAUUCUGGGAAUAUGUUGGAAUUUCGUCUUUGUGAACCUCUUUCUCAAUUCCCGUACAUGAUGCAGAUAAGGGGGUAUCUUGGAGUUCUUGGUCGCCCAUUCUUCUCGGACCUGAUGUAUAAGCAAGUCUGAAUCCCCCAUUACUAGCAACUCUUGAAUGUUCAUGUCGAUGGCCAUUUUGAGACCUAAAAUGCAGGCUUCAUACUCAGCCAUAUUGUUGGUGCACGAGAAUCUGAGUUUGGCGGACACCGGAUAAUGCUGACCGGUUUUCGAUACAAGGACUGCUCCUAUGCCAACUCCCUUGAAGUUUACGGCUCCGUCGAAAAAUAUUCUCCAACCGACAUAGGAUUCUGCAAUAUUUUCUCCUAUGAAUGAUACCUCUUCGUAAGGAAAAUACGUUUUCAGGGGUUCGUAUUCUCCAUCCACGGGGUUUUCAGCAAGGUGAUCUGCUAGUGCCUGUCCCUUCUGAGUUACGUAGAUAACGUCAAAUUCACUCAACAAGAUUUGCCACUUGGCUAGCUUUCCAGUGGGCAUGGGCUUCUGGAAGAUGUACUUCAAAGGAUUCAUCCUUGAUAUGAGAUAUGUAGUAUAUGCACAGAAGUAGUGCCUCAGCUUCUGAGCUACCCAAGUUAAAGCACAAUAGGUGCGCUCUAAUAGAGGAUAUCGGGCCUCACACAGGGUGAACUUCUUACUGAGGUAAUAGAUGGCCUGUUCCUUCCUCCCCGUUUUAUCAUGUUGCCCCAGAACACAACUGAAUGCUCCAUCCAAUACUACGAGGUAGAGUAAUAGAGGUCUACCUGGAUCGGGUGGGACCAAGACUGGUGGUGUUGACAGGUACUCCUUAAUUCUGUCGAAGGCCUUUUGGCAGUCAUCAGUCCAUUUGGUAGUGGCAUCCUUCUUCAACAUCUUAAAGAUUGGCUCACAGAUAACGGUAGAUUAUGCUAUGAACCGACUGAUAUAAUUAAGUCUCCCCAAGAAACUCAUUACGUCCUUCUUGUUCUUUGGCGGUGGCAACUCUUGAAUAGCUUUGACCUUUGAUGGAUCCAGUUCUAUUCCUCGGUGACUUGCAUUGAACCCAAGUAGUUUUCCGGUAGGAACCCCAAACGCGCACUUCGCGGGAUUCAGUUUUAGGUUGUACCUUCUCAGUCUAUUGAAGAACUUUCUCAAAUCUUCCGUGUGAUCAGUGGCUUUCUUGGACUUGAUGAUAAUAUCAUCUACAUAUACCUCGAUCUCCUUGUGUAUCAUAUCGUGGAAAAUGGUUGUCAUGGCCCUCAUGUAGGUGGCCCCAGCCUUUUUUAAUCCAAACGACAUCAUCUUGUAACAGUACAUCCCUCACGGCGUAAUAAAAGCCGUUUUCUCAGCAUCUUCUUCAUCUAUCCAGAUCUGAUGAUACUCCGCAAAACAAUCUACAAAUGACUGCAACUCAUGCUUGGCGCAAUUGUCGAUCAGGAUGUGUAUGUUCGGCAAGGGGAAGUCGUCUUUUGGACAGGCCCAAUUGAGAUCCCGGUUGUCGACACAGACUCUAACCUUCCCGUCCUUCUUUGGUACCGACACAAUGUUGGCUAACCACGUCGGAUAUUCUACUACCCUGAGAACCUUGGCUUUGACCUGCUUAGUGACUUCUUCUUUGAUUUUCAAACUCAUAUCAGGCUUGAACUUUCUAAGUUUUUGCUUUACCGGCGGACAUGUCGGAUCAGUUGGCAGUUUGUCUGCCACAAUAGAUGUACUCAGACCAGUCAUGUCAUCAUAUGACCAAGCAAAUAUGUCUUCAUAUUCCCUUAGAAAUUUUGUGUAUUCCUUCUUUUCUGAUGACGAUAAGUGGACACUGAUUCUCGUUUCUUUGACGUUCUCUGCAUCUCCCAAGUUAACAAUCUCGGUCUCGUCCAGGUUGGACUUAGGUCUAUUCUCAAAAUUCUCAACUUCCUUAACGAUCUCUUCCGGUAUUUCAUCUUCCUCUUAAUCUGUAUCCAUUUGUUGUGUUGUCUCAUUGCAUGUCACAGUCACUGGUUCAUCAAGAUAAUGCUGACUAAAGUAAUGAGAGAGAAUAAUAAUAGUAAGAUUCAUAGGGAAAAUCAAAAUUCUUUGAAAAAUCCAUAACUGUCUUGAACAUUGAAGAUCUUAUUGCAAAAUUUUAAAAUACAAAAGGAAAGUCAACUAGUAAAAAUGAAAGAUAGUGCAUGACGCUUGUUCAGCCUUGCUACCCCAAGGUUUUUCGGGCUCUGGUGGUUCUGAUGGUCCAUUUAUUGAGGCAUGCUCCUCUGCUCACUGCCUGUAUGGAAGGGCCUUCCUCCCCCUCCUCCUCGAAAACAACACAACAUUCCAUAUCAUUGUCUUCCAGGAACAAAUUCCUUACUGUUGCAAGUGCUUCCUCUUCUUCUGACCCAUAGAUAACAUUGGUUGGCUUGAAAGUCUGCUUCAAAUGUGGUAUUGAAUGCUCCAGUGGAUAGUAAGGACCGCGCCAUGGUGGCGACCAGUUGUUGAAUUCCUCCCAAGUGUACUCAUAUCCCAGAUCGAAGGUGGUGCCAUGUUUCUUUAGUUUGAUAGGCUUAGCGAUUCCUUGGAGGUUCUUGCCAAGUCCCUUGUCAAGUUCGUAUCCACUCCAGUUCAAUAUGCUUUCAAUUUUAUUGUCCCACCAUUUGUCCUUGUCGACGGUGUUGACUCGCUCGAUAUGGUGAUAGGUCUCCCCACCAUAUCUUUCUUCUGCCUCCAAUUGCUGGGAUGGUCUGGCGACUGUAUAUGGGAUUGCUACCGUCAUCGUGAAUGAUCACCUCUUGGUGGUUCCACUCAAAGUUCACCGCCUGAUGUAGUGUUGAUGCUACGGCCCCAGCGGCAUGAAUCCAUGGUCGUCCCAACAACAAAUUGUAAGAUGCCGACAUGUCUAUUACUUGAAAAUCAACAUUGAACCAAGUAGGCCCCAUUUGCAAACAUAGGCUGAUUUCACCAAUGGUGGACCUUUGGGAACCGUCGAAAGCUUUGCCGUUAAUGGCCCCGUCCUUGAUCUCGUACAGCCCCUUUCCCAAUGUCUUGAGAGUUACCAAUGGACAAAUGUUAAGGCUGGACCCUCCAUCAAUCAGGACUCCGGUGAUAAAAUAAUCUUUGCAUUGCACGGUGAUAUGCAACGCCUUGUUGUGACUCAACCCUUCUGGUGGCAGCUCAUCUUCAUGAAAAGCGAUCUUAUGACUUUCCAAUACCUGCCCUACCAUGUUUGCCAUCUCUCCUCUAGUGAUGUUGUUUGGUACAUACGCCUCACUUAGUACCCUUAACAGAGCAUUCUUGUGUGCCUCAGAAUUUUGUAGCAAAGCAAGUAUGGAGAUCUGCGCCGGUGUUUUGUUCAGCUGGUCGAUGAUCGAGUAUUCCUUGGCUUGUAUCUUUCUCCAAAGAUCGUCUGGACCCGUCUCAAUGAUGGGAGACCGAUUGGAGGCCUUCUUUCUUUACUCAGCUAGGUGUUCCGGGAUAUAGACCCUAUCAGUUCUUAUCAUACCCUGUGCGGCAACAAUUUUCUCGAACCUAACCUUGCCUUUCCUCUUGCCUCAGCUGUAUAGUCCCAUGGUAUAGCCUUUGUGUGGAAUGGCGUCAUGGCUGACAUUGCUAUGGGAUCGGCGCGACUAUCUUCACCCCGAACAGAGCAUGUUCCUUGGGUGGUAAAACUGCAACUUCGAAUGGUAUAGGUGCAUUUGUUGGUGACAUAAAUUCAACCUCAGUCGGUGUUGGCAUCUUUGUAGAGGAUGGUGCUUCAAACUCAAGUGGCAUGGUCAUAUUUACCUCGGCGUCCCCAGAAGGCUGAAUCUGGACUAUAAUCAGAUUAAGGGUGACCAUUGGCCCCUUUGGAUUGUCGCCUUCUGUGAUCAAACCGAUCGAUCUCUUGGGGUCCCAAUCAUCCUCUAUUUUAAUCAUGUGAACGUCUCCACUCUUAUAGUCUGGUAGAGGGUUAUUGCGGACAUUUGGAGUAGGUUCCUUUGCCACAAUAAUUUUGUUAUUAAUCAGAGCCUGGAUCUUGUCUUUCAGGGAGCGACAUUCGUCGAUGGUGUGUCCUUUCAUGCCGGAGUGGUAUGUACAAGAUUUAUUUGGAUUAACCCACUGAGAAGGGUUCUCGGGGGUUAUAGCAGGAAUAAGGGUGACAUAACCAGCAACUUUGAGCCUCUCGUACAACUGGUCAAUUGGUUCGGCAAUGGCUGUAUACUGUUUAAGGGGUCUGCGGUCAAAAUUUGGUCAAGAUCUAGGGAAGUUUUGGCAUGUAGGAGGUGAUCGAUGGUGGGAUGGUUAAGCAUUGUCGGCUUGGUAAACAUGUGCGGGUUGGGAAUAUCUGGGUGAUGUAGAUUGAUAUGUGGGAGGUGGAGGUCAUUGAUAAGUGGGCGGUAGAGUUUGGUAAGAGGGUGAGGGUGCCUGGUAGUUCGGAGUAGGCUGAUAUGUGAGUGGAGGCAUUAGAUAGGUUUGGUAUUUGAUAGGGGAUUUGGUUCUCUAUGCCACCAUUACGGCACUACGUCCCUUUUCUUGGACGUACCACCAUACUGUAAAGCCCUAUUGGUAGCUUGCAAGGCUUCAAAGUUUGUAACCAUACCACUUUUGAUGUCUUCUUCGAUCCUUUCUCCCAGCUUGAUAAUGUCGGAAAAUUUGUGGCUCUCAAUCAUCAUCAGCCUUUCAUAAUACUGCGGGUCCUAAGCCCGGACAAAGAAUUUGUUCAUCUGCUCCACUUCUAAGGUAGGCCUGACCUUAGCAGCUUUGGACCUCCAGCAAGUAGCAUACUCGUGAAAUGUUUCUGUAGGCUUCUUUUUAGAUUCUGAAUGUAGAACACAUCCGGUGCAUUUUCCGUGUUGAACCUGAACCUGUCCAUAAAGUUGGACGCCUUGCUUACCUAUUUUGACCAUUUAUUUGGAUCUUGGCUGAUGUACCAAGACAAAGCAUCUCCUUUCAAUCUUUUCAUGAAAAGCUUCAUGCAAAUUCUCUCGUUUUCCCUACUCUAACCAGAUUGUCACAGUACGUUCUCAGAUGGACCCUUGGAUCUCCUGUACCAUCAAACAUUUCGAACUUCGGAGGUUUGUACUCCUCGGGCAGUUCAACAUCAGGCUGUAUGCAGAGAUCUUCAUAGUUCAACCCUUCAAUCCCCUUACUUCCUUCGACGCCCUGGAUCCUACUGGUCAAUUUCUUAAGUUCUUUAGCCAGACUCCUGAUGAGUGAGUCUUUAUCAUUAGACUAGGGUGUGCUUGAGAUGAGUUGGGUGGAGUGUGGCACGGUCCCCAUGUAGAUAAGGUUGUUAUGAUAUGUGUGAAAGUGGUCAUUUGUGGAGUUCAAAGGUUCUGAGAUGAGCAGUGGAGUAUUGUUGGAGGUGUGGCAAGUGUUGCAGUGGUGGUGAAGAGCGGGAUGGUUUCAUGGCUUUGGGAUAUUCUGUGGAGGUGUGGGGUUCUGAGCAUUUGGGAAAUUAAUGUUGGGAGUGGUGCGGGAAAAUGAUAGAUUCUCCAGAUUCCGAACCUGAUCAAGUUCUUCUUGGAAUUUUAGCAGCUUUUGUUCAAGCUGGGAUGCACUUUCCUUGGAAACCUGAGUACCAUGAGUGACCUCGACCCGUUCAGUUGAGUUCUCCUUUCUAGCAUUGUUCAAAUCUUCCAUUUUCCCUUUGUUCUUGUUUCUGAUAGGACUAAGAGGAGGAGUGAGUGGAGGGCCCCUGGAUCUCGUUGAAUAAGAUGAUGUUGCCAGAGUGCACGAACUAACUUUUGGGGAGGGGAAUAAACAAAAAGUAAAAUAAAAAGGUAACAAGUCAGUGAGGAUUAUAAGAAAAUGUUGCGAUAUUUAAACACAUAGUGCAAGAAUGUAAGUCGUGUACUAUUUGGGAGCCUCUUUGUGCCCGAGGUAGGCCUAGCAACAAGUUGAUUUGGAGAACUUAAAAUGCUAAAUGCCUCAUUUUAUUGAUAAAAAGAUGACGAAUCCCAAAUCGACCCUAAAUAGCAGGAAAGAAAAAUAUCACUAGUGGCUGUUGGCCUUAUUACAUUUCUUAAAGCAAAAGAAAAACUCCUAUCUAUUUGGUCCCGGAAGGACCUUCCCCAGACUCGACAUCUUUGGCUCCGUCGAACAGUUUUCCCAGCUCGCGAUGUCCCAGCAAUAGGUAGGCUCUGGCUAGAUGUCCGUCCUCAUUUCCCUCAAUAUUUUGGCAAUCCUCUAUCCUUUUGAGGAACUUCCUUUCUAGCUCCACUAUGCCUCGCUCCAAGUAUCCCAAUCGCUUGUUGGUACUGACAGCCAUGUCUUUCUGCUCCUCGAUCAGCUUUUGGUUGGCUUCUUGUAUCUCACGGUGCUCGAUUUCACAUUCUCGGAUCCUCUUGCAUAGUUGAUUGUAUUUGACCUGUGCCUCGGCCCUCUCAUCUAUGAUCCUGUAGCCCCUAGCAAGUCCUGGCUGACCCAGACCAUCGUGAUUAGAUUCCAACCAGCCUGAAUAGUAUGGAGUACAACCAGCAUGGUAUCUGUCUGGUUCGAUAGUAUCUCUUCCCAUGAUGAUCUUGCAAUGCCACAUAUUUUGAGCUUGGCAAUUAUAAGGACUGUCAUCAGCUUGGAAGUCAGCCCGGAAGUGACUCAUCUUAUCUACACUUGGUAUAACCUGCUUCCUACCAGCCUGUCUCAUAACUCGGAGAGGGACAUAAGGGUAGGUUCCUCUCAGACCGAUUAGUAUCAGAAACGGCGCAUCCCUAGAUCGGACGAUGAACUCCUCAGUAGGGAACUACUCGAACAUCCAUUGUACUUGAUCCUCAGUUAGAUUUUCAAACAGCUCUAACCAUCCCUUGGCGUCUUCUGGAUGGGCGAACAUGUUGGGCAUGUAGUUCAUUCGUUUCGGAUGAUGGAAAGCGAUAUGAUCGUCCUAGUCUCUUCGCUGAAUUUCCUUUCGGUAUUCACCCCUUUGGAGAUGCUUCAUGAGCCAAAGCUGAAGUAGCAAAUUGCAGCCCUCGAAGCAUUCGGCUCCUCGUUGACACUUCUCCGAGGCUCGGUAUAUAUCCACAAUAAUCAUGGGCACAAUGCUGAAUGGUUGCCCACCAGUUCCCUCCAUUAGAGUUUUGGUUACCAUAGCUAGCCUGGUGUGGAUCCUGACUUUCUUCAUUGGAAACACUAUCAUCCCCAGGAAGCAAAACAUGAAGACAAAGACCCUUCGGUGAAUAUGCCCCAAUGAUGUGAGGCAGAACUCGUCAGGAUAAGUACGGUAAGAUUUGUUGUGACCGUACCUCUCGUACAAAUAAUCAAAGGGAAUAUAAGACUUUUUCAAGCAUGUCAAGUCUGGAUUCUUCUUUAGACCCAUCAUUUUGAGGAAACCUCUACCCUUGCGAUUUUCCGGCAUUAACAAACCCGGAGUUUCCCAUGGUAUACCAGCUAAUCCUCUUAUUUCUUCCAGUAGGGGCGUCAUCUCAAUGUCCCCGAAGUGGAACACAGACCUAUCACAAUCCCAGAACAGAGUAGCAGCUUCUAUGAUCUUGUUGUUAGGUUGGACUUCCAGAAGAGAAUGUAGAUUUCCUAGGUAUUUUCGGACAAGAGUCUGAUCACUGGAAUGAAGAUCCUCCCACCAGCUUAGAAAUUUUGGGUGGAUGUUGGUGACCAUGCCAAAUCUGGGGACUUCGUGCCUCAUAUUUCUUCAAGACAAAAAGGGUUAGGCCCUUACCCCCACCAAACUCGACUAUUAAAUAUCAAUAAUUGGCAUAAAACAUUUAGUUCUCCAAAUAAAUGCGCAGAACGUGAUGGUGUCCGUUUGGGUUUUAGGGAAACCCAGUGGACUUUGGACAAGGCUAUCUUAAAGAGUCAUUAUGUGGACAACAUAAUUGACUCGGUUAAGUUUGACCAUGAUGCAUGCACAGUUAAAUAGAGUAAGGUUUCUAUGGGGUUUUAGACCGGUACCCUUAAGAGGACAACUCAAGGGGGAAAACACAGAACCGUUGACUACACCAUUGAUCGACUGGUUUUAUCGCAAAUACACCUUUUCCGGAUUUNNNNNNNNNNNNNNNNNNNNNNNNNNNNNNNNNNNNNNNNNNNNNNNNNNNNNNNNNNNNNNNNNNNNNNNNNNNNNNNNNNNNNNNNNNNNNNNNNNNNNNNNNNNNNNNNNNNNNNNNNNNNNNNNNNNNNNNNNNNNNNNNNNNNNNNNNNNNNNNNNNNNNNNNNNNNNNNNNNNNNNNNNNNNNNNNNNNNNNNNNNNNNNNNNNNNNNNNNNNNNNNNNNNNNNNNNNNNNNNNNNNNNNNNNNNNNNNNNNNNNNNNNNNNNNNNNNNNNNNNNNNNNNNNNNNNNNNNNNNNNNNNNNNNNNNNNNNNNNNNNNNNNNNNNNNNNNNNNNNNNNNNNNNNNNNNNNNNNNNNNNNNNNNNNNNNNNNNNNNNNNNNNNNNNNNNNNNNNNNNNNNNNNNNNNNNNNNNNNNNNNNNNNNNNNNNNNNNNNNNNNNNNNNNNNNNNNNNNNNNNUUUAAAGCGGUAGUAAAUGAAAGCAGUAAAUGAAAGUAAUAAGGAAAAGAAACAAAAAGACAAGUCAGUUUUGCAAUCGAAAAGAAAUAUUGAAUGCUUGAAAGAAAUAAACAGAUAAUUGCGCAUAAAGAAGCAUAAAUUAACAAUAAUAGUCUGAAGUGGUAAAAGCCUAAGAAUCCCCAGCAGAGUCACCACGCUGUUGCGCCCCCUUUUUCUCGCGAAAUCGGGUUUAUGACAUUUGGUAGGACAACUCAUUCCUUUUUGGGAAUUUGGGUUUGCAUUUGAAGAGUCGCCACCUAAUGAUUAAGGUGCAUUAGGACACCAAGAAGGUUUGAUUUGAGUAACCAGAGAUUGGGUAAGGGCUUGAAAUUAUUCCAAGGGGAAGGUGUUAGGCACCCCUCAGAAUCCACUAGUGUGGUUUCCGACCAAACUAUUGUUGUGAAUUUAGGUGCAAAUAACAUGUAGGCAAAUAGAACUUCAAAUAAGAGCGGAUUUUCACAUAAUGGUUACAAACAAAAUUGGAAAGAAUUAAAAGGAAGCUGAUUUCUUAAAAGAAAUAGUUUGAAAUCUUUACAAGAAACAAAGAAACAAAAGAAAAAGGGGGGUCCUAGGUUUAUUAAUAAUAUGGAUCACCCCACACAACAUCCGGUAAUCACUCCUCAGUGAGGGGCUACACGAGACGUUAUCGCGUGGUCAUCAUAUUCAUAUCUACCCUUUCCCACCCCGUUGAGGUAUUAAAGUGUGAAAUGGUCUCGAUUACUUAUUGCAUGCUAUUACUCGUCCCAAUCCUAUAAGUCCGGAGGCAUUAGGACUACUAAUCCUAAGAGGGAGGGAUAUUAGGCUUAUUUGUAGUUUCAAAGGUAAAAUUCUAAGGCAACAUACAAAAACAUGUAUAGCAAGUUGGGAAAAGCACAUAACAAGUAAAAGGCUCAGAUGUACCCCCUCGAACAAAAAAAGCACAUAAUUAGCAUGACUUUCACAUACUGUUUAUGGUCCGAGAAAGAACUUAAAAGUUUAGGCAAACUGAUUUAUUACAUAAUUCAGAUAAGAAGCCCGAGUCAGGCCAGCCUGUUGGUUGUAGUUAAUAACACAGAUUCAGUUUAUAACUUUUAUCCUAAGGCUUGCCUGAAUGUCGGACAAGGAUCCUAUAGGCAUGGUAUCUAUUGAAUUCAGGAAAGCCAUGAAAUAAUAAGGCCUAAAUAAAUAAACAUUAGUACAUGCUGGUAAAAAGGGGAAGUCAGAGAAAGCGCACUUUAACGAAAGUUAUAGGCUCUAAAACUGAUGAUACUCGUUAUUACUGAUUUUAUAUCUAACAUUUAAGUGAGGCGAAUCAGAUUCAAUUAGAGACUCCUAUAGGCAUGCUUUCUAGGCGUUACUGGUUUUAAAACCUUGAAGAUGUAGUAUAAAAAUGCAGAAGACUCAUUUUAAACCUAUGAACAUGAUAUCUAGAUGUUGAAUUCUAUUUAAGACAUGAUGCCCAAGUGCAAUUGAAUGUUUAAGUCCUAUGAGCAUGGUAUCUAGGUGCAGAAAUUUGUUUAAGACCUAUGAACAUGAUUUCUAUAUGAGAAAAUGGAUAUACAGGAUUCAGAAAGACCUAUAGGCAUAUUUUCUAUAUGCAUAUGCAGAAUUCAGAUUGACUUAUAGGCAUGAUUUCUAGACGAGAGUCGUAGACCUAUGAUCAUAAUUUCUAUAUGAAAAAUGGACAUUUAGAAUUCCCUAUAGACGUGCUUUCUAUAUGCAUUUGAGUGUGCAGAAUUCGAAAACCUAUAGACGUGGUAUCUAUGUGAGAAUACAAAAUUCAAAAUUCCUAUAGCCAUGGCAUCUAUGUGAAAGUGCAGAAUUCAGAAAUACCUAUAGGCAUGACAUCUACCCUUUGCAUAUAUAGUUACCUGCCCUUUCACUAACCAGCCCCAAAUGUUUAUUACAAAAUUAUUACAGCCUAGAAUAAAGUGAAAUACAUCAGAAAAAAAUAAAAGUACAACCAAAGGAGAGCCUGAUUCAGACUUCAUAUCUGAAAUAUGAGGUAAACCAACUCCAUAAGAUCAAGAUCCAAAGCCUUUCUCCCAUUCGAGUGUGUCAAGUUCCCUAAGAGCCUCAAAAGGACUCCGGGCAAUGCUCACACCCAAAUGUAUUAUCAGAUUAAGACAAGCGCAGUGUGGAAGGGUCAGCCCUCAAGUGUCCAAGUUCAGAGGGAACUCAAGGUCCCAAGGCAAGGGUCAUAAGAGGGGGUCAGAACUUAAAGACUAAGAGGGAGUGCAAGUGUAGAAAAGAAUUCUGAGAGAGGGAAAGGGGAAGAGAAAUAACUACAAAUAAGUACACAUAGGGGCACAGGGGAACGGGGAGGUUGUAAAGAGCCAAGGGCAGGUUGUGGGCAUGCCCAACAAUGGUGAAUGCUAGCACACCCAUAAGCCUGUUAGAACACACUAUUAGAGGCUAGGAUCCCAAAGGAUCAAGCUUAAUUCAUGGGCAAUAAUUUGCAUAUUGUCAUGCCUUAAGCCAUAGCUCAAACACAUAGGGGGUAGGGGUUUGGGAUCCAUAAUAGAAACAGGCAGAAAGAAAUCAGCAUGCUAAUUUAAGUGUUGAACUGUACAGAAACAGUAAGUAGGCAUGGAUACAAAAGCAGUAAAUUAACACAUUGUCGUGGUGCUAAAGCUUAAACCAGAACAUACCAGUUUCAAAGAAACAAAAGUAGUAGGUCUUGUAAACAGGCCACGAUGCAAGCAAAUAAGAGAGAAUACUAUUGUGUGUAAGUGUAGUUUCAGAAGAAAACUAUGAGUGAGUGAUCCUUUUUUUUUUGUGCUAAUGAAAGAGUAGUGUAUUUAUAGUGUGAAAAUAGGUAGAAAUAAGGUAAGAAAAUAAUUAAGGGACUGGGGUAUCAAUUAAAAAUCAAUCAAUACAAAAUUUCGAUUAAUUAAGGAACUCAGAUUCAAACGGGAAAANNNNNNNNNNNNNNNNNNNNNNNNNNNNNNNNNNNNNNNNNNNNNNNNNNNNNNNNNNNNNNNNNNNNNNNNNNNNNNNNNNNNNNNNNNNNNNNNNNNNNNNNNNNNNNNNNNNNNNNNNNNNNNNNNNNNNNNNNNNNNNNNNNNNNNNNNNNNNNNNNNNNNNNNNNNNNNNNNNNNNNNNNNNNNNNNNNNNNNNNNNNNNNNNNNNNNAAAUACACGGUUACAUAAAUAAGGUAAGAAAAAUCAAUUAGUAGCCAGUAAAUUAAGGAUCGGAGAUUUUGUAAUCACUGGUCCAUUAGUGAACCAAGUCAAAAAAGCUGAGAAAAGUUUUAACUUAUGUCGAGUCACAAAGAAAUCAGCCAACAAGGAAAGAGAUCAAUCAAACCUAUACAAAAGGAAGUCUGAACUAAUCACAAAUUUGAAAGCCAUUUUAGAGGGAAGUUCAGCACAUAUAAAGAGCAUACAAACAUGCUAAGCUGAAAGAAAAUGACGUGUCAUUGCAAAAUCAGUAGAUAGUAGACUAUAGGAUCAUGGUAGUCACAUAGGUUAGCAAUGUAGAAGAGAAGUAGCAUCAAACAGCAUACAAAAGGUCCAGUGUAAAAGACCUUAGAAGAGUUUAGCGGAAAAUCAGAAUUGCUUAAAGAGACAGAGGUUGAAACAAAGAUUUCGAGACUCAGUUGAGAAACAAAUUCAGAAACUCAAAAUAGUUAGGGUUUCUAAAAUCAGACGGUUUUAAAGAUAAAGGACAAACAUAUCACAUAGCCAAUGUUCUCAAACUCGGAUGAACCCCAAAUUUUAGGGUUUUACCAUCAAUCAAGUGCCGAGAUGAGAGGACAAGUAAUCAAGAAGAAGAUACUAGUCGAAAACAAGUUCAAAGAUCUUAGAAGGGAACUGGGGCCUUCGACAUGAUUUUUCAGUAACGGAAACUCAUGAGAAACAUAGUAAAAGAGUAACAUGCGAAUCAUAAUAGAAGAGCUCAAAGAAACAUAGUAGAAGAAGCUAAUAAGAAACAUAGUAGAAGAAGACUAAUCAGAACACAGUUAGGAGAAACAUGGUAGAAGAAACAAUUAAGAACACAGUGGAAGAAACUUAAUAAAAAAAACUCACAGAGAACACAGUAGAAGAAACGUAGUAAAAAAAUAUACAAAAGAUAAAGAAAAUCAGAGAGGCCUCUAAAUAACUCAGAAACCCUAGGUCGGAAAAAAUAAAGGGUUUUGAAAACAUAGCUUUAAAAGAAAUAUCAAGAAAUCGUUUAAAAACUUAGGGAAAACAUGGAUCUGGAACAGAUCUAAAGAGAUCAGAAAAACCUCAAAAGCUAGGGUUUUAGAGGAAUCCAAACGGUGAGAAAGGCCUGGAUCAAAGAAGGAGGAAUUGAGGCCAGGAUCGAAACAGAUAUAGCUUGUCGGAGCAAGGCUGGAGAUGGCCAUAAAACUCGAAUCAACGAGGCCUGGACGAAGCUUCUUCGUGCUCAGGCCAUGAAACCUCAACAAACGAGCGUGUAUGCACCAUGGAAGGAGGUUGGUAGGUGGUGAGACCACCAUAGAUUCAGGCCAGGAGAUGGCCGGAGAAGAUGGAUGAGACUCAUCGGAGAGGAGGGGAAGGGGAAGGUUCUAGAGAGAACUAAAGAUAGAGAGAUAGAGAGAUAGAGAGAGAGUCGGUUGAGUGAGGGAAAUGAGUGGGGUUUGGGGGGUUGUUUGGUUUAAUUUAGGAAGGAUGAAUGGUGGCCGUUGAUCAUUUUGAUCAACGGCCUGGAUUAAAUGGGGAUCCGGGCCAGUCAUUCAAACGGGUUGUGGUCGGGUAGAUUUAGGAUUUGGGUUGGGUAAUUGGGUUUGAUAUUGGGUUUAAUUAGGGGUUCAAAUCUGGCCAAAAUUGAAAUGAAAUGGGCUAACAUUUAAAUAGCCACUUUUUCCCUUGUUUAAUUUAUAAAAAUAGUAAACUAAUUUCUGGGAGUAAAUUAAAGGUACUAAAAUGAUUAAUAAUACAUAAUUAUCCAAUUAAAAAUACUGAAGUUAAUCUUAUAAAUAUAAACACCAUUAAAUCUUAAAAAAAGCUAAUAUCGCAAUUACGCGCAAUUUAGCUUUAAAAAUACUAAAUAAAUUUACAAAAAAUAUGCAAAAAUUAUGUUAGCUAUAUUUAAUGCAAAUAUGAGAAUCCAAUAGAUGAAUCACCAAAAUGAUAAUUUUGGGAAGAAUUAUUGGGUUUUCUUGCUAAAAUAAGGAAAUAAAUUGAUUUAAAAAUCAUUAAAAUUAAGUGAAAAAAAAUACUAAAACCUUGGGACAUACUUAUAUAUGUAUAUUCAUGCUAUUUUGAAAGUAUUUUGUAUAUUUAAAAAUAUACAGGGAAAAAUUGGGUAUCAACAAUACCACUAGCUUUUGGAGAUUCAUAGUCGACCGAGUGGAUGUUCUUGUUUCCUUUGUCCACUGAGACCACUCGGCCAGUUAUCAGAUUGGUACCUGUACUUUAGGCCAUUCACAUAGUACACGUUCCUAACUGAGUGUCAAAAAAAACUUUCCAACUUUACAUUUGCUGAGAAUGUACCUCUCCUUUCUUUUUAAGGAUACAUUCCCUUCCUGCAAGGCUUUCAGUGAGAAGAAAUUCACGAUGUUUUUAGUCACGUGCUUUGAGCAUCCACAGUCCAUAGUCCAUUUCAGUCCGCUUCCUCUCACUGUUCCCUGCACAUCCAAAUCAAAGGUUAGAUUUAGGAACCCAAACUAGUUUGGGUCCCUUGUUAUGAUAGAAAGGAUGAAUAAGGGCUUUCCUAGUCCAUGCAGACAACAUUCGCAUCUUGCGAGUGGUACCUGGUACUUUUUUAGUAGUCACUUUAUCAGUAAACACUUUGUUUUUCUGAACAGACUGAACCCUAGCCUGACAAUUUUCCUUAAAAUGCCCAUUGUUCCCAUAGUGGGUACAUAGCCAGUUAUUAGGGACAGUGACAUACUUGCUGUGAGGGUUGUAAGGAGUUUUAUCCCUUUGAAACCCAAUGCCCUACCUGUUUCCACUAUUGUUAAGAUACAUGGCAGUGACAACAUCUGAGGACCAGGUCCACUUCAGAGAUUUCUCAAGAUCAAUUCUUACUUUCUCCAAUUCAGCUUGAAGUUGCUGAUUCUUCUCAAGUUCACUACGUAGACUGGUUUUCACAAUAGUUAAUUCCUUUUCAAGCAUGAUGUGUGUCUCAUUAGCUACUUACUUUCCUUUCCCAAGACUCACAUUCCUAUGUUCUCUAUUGAGUCCUUCAAUGGUUUCCUCUAGAUCGGUGCAUAUCACUAAAAGGUCAUCCCUCUCUUCCUCAGUAGUUGCAUUUUUUCCUUCUAAGGUGUGUUUCUCAUUGCUAAGACCUUCUAUUGUUUCUUUUAGAUCAACAACUACUACCAUCAGGUCGUUUCUCUCAUUUUUCACACUAGUUAUUCUUUCAUUCAAGGCUUCCUUUUCUUUUUCAAGAUUAGCUAUGGUCUCAUUUAGGUUCACUAGACAGACCACCAGAUCAUCUCUAGAUUGUUCGGCCUCUCCUAGUUCUAUGGUCAGGAUCUCCUUAUUAUUAACAAGGAUAUAAUAAGCAUCAACUAGGACAUUUUCUAACGACCCUAGCUUCUUAGAAGAGUAGGAUUUCAGAUUUCUCUGAACAUCCCUGAAGUUUACCUCAUCGUCUUCAUCUUCUCUAUCAUCAUCAGACUGGGCCAUCAGCGCGAACAGUGAAUCAUACUUCGUUGCUUCAGUUUCCACUUCCAUCAUGAAACUAUUUUCUGCAUAUGGUUCCUUUUCAAAUUUACUAGAGGAGUCUCCCCAAGCAGCAAAAGCCUGCUUAAUAAUAUUGUCAGCAGCACUUUUUCGAUUGAAUCAUUUGUCUGGAACCAGGCUCCUUUUUGCUGCUUUGUUAGGAUUUUGUUUGUAUUGCUUCUGUUUCGCGAGUGGGCAGUCUUUGAUGAAAUGCCCUGGCUUUCCACAUCUGUGACAAAGAUCGUUGUUCCUUGCUUUACUUGAACUGCCCCACUUUGGUAUACCACCAUGUCUUUGAACCAUAGUUUGAAAUCUCUUAGUAAGAUAUGCCAUGUCACUAUCUUCAUCACUUGAUUCACUGCUUUCAGCUUUGAGUACCAUGUUCUUUUCCUUCUUAGUCUCUCUUCUUUCACUAUCUUUCUUUCUUUUCAUCUCGUAUGUCUUCAGAUUACCAAUCAACUCAUCCAUAGUCAGAGUUUGUAGAUCUUUAGCUUCAGUAAUGGCAUUUACCUUACUUUCCCAAGAACCAGGUAGAACACUGAGGAUUUUCCUUACAAGCUUGUUUCUGGGAAUGACAUCUCCAAGUGAAUGAAGCUCAUUUAUGAUGGAGGUGAAUUUGGUGUGCAUAUCUUGUAUAGACUCAUCAUCCUUCAUCCUAAAGAGCUCAUAUUCUGUGGUGAGCAUGUCGAUCUUGGACUGUUUGACCUGAGUAGUUCCUUCGUGUGCGGUUUGCAAUGCUUCCCAUAUUUCUUUGGCAAUGUCACAAGCUGAGACUCUGUUGUACUCAUCAGGUCCUAUGCCACACAUCAAGAUUUUCUUGGCACGAUAGUUCUUUUCUACAACUUUUCAGUUAAUGUUGCUGUACUUUUUUUUGCCUUUUGGUACCAUUGGUCCUGUUUAUUCAAGCUUCUUCAUGGGGACAUGUGGACCAUCACAAAUGAUGUCCCACAGUACUGAAUCUUCUGCCAUCAUAAAAUCAUGCAUGCGUGUUUUCCAUCAGCCAUAGUACUAACUAUUGAAUCUGGGAGGUCUGUAGGUUGAUUGUCCUUCCUCAAAGUUGGGUAGAGCAGCCAUUGAGAUCCUUUCUAGGUGUUAACCUUUUAGAAAGAACCUGCUCUGAUACCAAUUGUUAGUUUAUAUGAGUCCACCAAACUAUAGAGUACCUGGUCUUAUAUGAGAUAAUGCUAAGAAUUCUAUAGAAACUGAAAGUAAAGAAGACAAGAGAUUUUUACGUGGAAAAAUCCCACACAAGGGGAUCAAAAAACCACGACCUACUCUUGUAGGCUUUUAACUUCACUAACUUGCAAUCUCCCUAUUACAAGUCAAUUUGCAAUAACCCUAUUACAAAGACUUCAACUAACUUGUGAUGCUCUCGCCACAAGCCACUUUAUAACUCUCCUAGUUACAAAGGCUUUAAACUUAUGACUAUUCCUAGUCACAACAUAAACUCAAAAGUUUACAGAUUUUUGGUUUUUUCCUAAGACAAAGCAUCUAAGAAAGCAAACUAGGAAAUACAAUGAAGAGCAAAUAAUAAGAUUACAACUCAACUACGGAUGUACAUAAACUCUUUUAGAAACUGAUCCUUAGUAGAGUUGUCUUCUUGUUCUUGAUACACCAGUGACUUCAAUACUGGAUAAACACUGUUAUGCUUGAGAGAGUAUCACUGAAUGCACAAAGAUGUUGUGCCUUGCACCAGGUUGUUAUAUCACAAAAGACAUCACAAUAGAUAGUGAUGUCAAUUCUUGGUACACGUUUUUUCCCAAUGAGAAGUGACUGUUGUACUGUCUGCACAACCACUUUUGUGCAGUUGCGUUCCAGCUGGAUAGUCGACUUGUACUUCUGUCAGAGAACACUAACGAACCAGGUCCUAGUUGUGUUCCUCUUCUGUAACAAUUGCGAGAUGGUCACCUUCUGCUGCUACGUUCCAACUGUACAGUGACUUGUACUUCUGUCAGAGAACCCUAAGGGACCAGGUCCCUGUUGUGUUCCUCUUUAUAAUGAUUGCGGACGGUCACUGACUUGUACUUGUAUCGAAGAACCCUAAGGGUCCAGGUCACCAGGUCUCUGUUGUGUUCCUCCCUGUGGUCGUUCAUUCAUUUGCUGAUUUUCAGACUUGGACCAGGUCAGUUGAAAUGUAUAUCAUCUGGGCCAGGUUCUAUAUCUGGUUCUUCACAACAAGUUUGUUAGAUCAUCAAAACAUAAGAAGCAUAAGGCAAAGACAUUGAAAACCCAUCAAUACGUUAGUUGAAACAUCUUUUGGUUCAAGGGUGACUGAACUCGAGGGCCAAGGCUAUUCAAUUCGUGUGGUUUGCAUUUAUUCUUUUAUCGUCAAUUUCAAUAUUAAUCUAUCUUCUUAAUUUGUGCCAAAUUAUAUUACAUAUCCUUAAAACCGCGUAUUUAUCCGUUUUCGAGGGUAAACACUUCUAAUUGUAAUCUAAAAAAUAUCAUAAAAACAUAUAUCCAGAAUGUGAAAAAUCUUUGAAACGCAGGUUGCUAAAAGGUGAAAAUUUAUGACAAAAUGAUUUAGGUUGUCAUAGACUGGCCUAUUCCUAAAUGGGACCAUGCACGUUAUCAAUAUUACUCCGUAUUUUUAAUGCCAACUUUAGGGCAGUUUGACUUGACGUUAGCAAAAGCCAAGUUGUUGUUUGAGUUUCUAAUUUGGUAUAGUAAAGUGCAUUAAACUUGCAUGUGGAUUUAAUAGUCAAUUUUGAUGUUACAGCGAUUCUCAACUUGUCCUUUGGUCAAAAUUAUUUAAUAUCCAAAAACCUUUUUGUUUUGUGGUCAGCGACCAAAAUAAAUAAUUAUAGGCUGUCAUUUCCUUAUUUAAAAAUGUUUAUUGUGGUAAAUAAAUAAACAGCUUCAUGCAAAUGGAUAAAUUAAUAAUUUCCCAGAACAAAUAUACUUUGACAUCUGUCAUGAUUUCUCUUGCACGCUCGGCUUCAACACCAAAGUAUUCCAUCUAUUGCUUUUAUGUAAUAAGGUUAUAUCGAGCAUGAAAGUGAAAUAUAAUUUGAUUCACUAUGGUAUAAAAAAUAUUAAUUUGACAGAAAAAUAUCACGUACUUCCCCCCACCUCUCUGGUUAAUUAGAUUCAAAUCUAAGAACUUGUGACGUAUAAAUAAAUAAUAUUACUGUUAUAACAACGUAAACUAUUUUAUAAAUUAAAAUGAAAGAAUAAGUUACAAAAUUCACACAAUACACAAAUUUUAAAUAGAUAAGGAAAAAAGAAAAUAAAAACGGAGAGACCGUUUGACUCCGUGAAAAAAAUGAGACCCUUUGACUCGAAAUAGAGGAAUGUUCUGGUUUUUGACAAUUUCUUAAAGCAAGAUGAUUAAAGCGACGCCACUUUCAUGUUAGCCACACAUUGUUGCCAAUGAUUAGUUAGCAGAAUUAAUGUUGUUAAUCUUUUUCAAAAGUUUUUCUUUUCAUUCCCGCGAGAAAGUGAUCAAUUUAUUUUUUUAUUUUAGUUUAAAAUAAGUAUUUAUUUAUAUAAUUAAAAAAAGUUAAUUUAUUUUUACAAAAUUACCUUUAUAUAUAUAAACCUAAAAAGUUUUCUUACUCCUCGCAUUAAAUAUUUAAUUAAGGAUAAUUUAGUCAUACUAUGUGUUUUUAUAUAGAAUUUAGUAUUUUCAUAAUGGACGUGUCAAAAAUAAAUUGAUCACUUAUUGUGGAGCGGAGAGAGUAAACAAUUUGCAAUUGGUGCAUUUGGUUUUUGACUUCCUGUUUUGUCAUUGCUAAGUUGGAAUAAUUGGACCACAACUACUGUAACCUGAAUCACUUAAGUACAAAAGCAAUAGCUUGCUUACAUAUCACAUCCACAUGAUAAUUUUAUUAAAAAAUCUAUAAAUCUCUUCCGUAAAUAUUUCAUAAAUGUAGAUCAAAAGUGGUAAAAUUCUAAAUGAUUUUUCAACCUAAAAAAUUAUGAAAAAUAUUUUUUAAAAAAACUCCCAAGGAAUUGAAAAAUUAAAAGAAUAGAAAUUUUAAUAUUUUUCAGCCCAACUAAAGAGGUUAUUGCUUUCAUCUCAUUUGAAAAACUUUUCAUUUUUAGAAGAGGAACAAUAAUAUUUGUUAUUUAGCACUCCAAAUUCAUUUGGUAAUAAUAAUUAAGUAUUAAUUAUAUUUGUGAUUGGCACGGAGAAAAAAUAUUGAACUCUAUCAGGAGGGUUCAUUAGUCAUUUCAAAUACUGUCAUUUCUGGAAAGUAAAUGGAUGGUACUCUCUGCAAUGUUCCAAGAAUUAAUUUCCCCUUUUAUCAGUUCAUAAUUUAGAUUCCUAUUACCCCAUAUUUUAAUCCUUAAUUAAUCACAUUAAUUAGUAUAAUAAAUUUUCACAGCAUCACCAAACAAAUAUGCAGCUAUAAAGGGCCCCACCAAUUUAACAUUAUUUUCUUUUCUUCCCUUUUGCUCCUUCUCUCUACAAUGAAACACUGCAAAAAGGGUUGGCAAGAAUUGUUGGAGAAAAAGGAGUCAUUUGAUUCUAUGCUCUACCCAUUUGAAUACUCAUGUUGAGAUUUUUUCCCUUUUUGAAACACCAUUGUUUUUUCAAGAUCUGAUUUUUUUUUUUCGUGCACCAUCUAAGCUCCAGGUACAACCAAAGCUGCUGUUUUCUUACUUUUAAUUCAAUCUGCUAAUUGGAUUUUAUGGUUUGUAAUUGUAUUUUGUGGGUUUUUGUUUUUAUCUUAAUAUUUUUCAAUUCUGUUUUCAGUUUUUCUUGUUUGAUUUAGCUGUGGUUUGCUAUGAUGUUUAAUUGUUAAGUUUCGGGAGUUGCCAAUAAACAAUGUAACAAUAUCAUAUGUGCUAAAUUUUUUUUUAAUCUUUUAUCUUUUUUGGUGUCUAAAUCAAAUGUUUUUUAAUUUUGGCAUUGUGGUUUCAGUAUAUCUAAACUUUGGAAAGUGGAAAAAAAAGGAUUUGUGUGAACUCAUUUAAGGAAAUAGAAUUUGAUGGUAAUUCUUUAACUAGUGCUGCUUGUUAUUGCUCAAGGUACUUGAAAUUGAAAUUUUGUGCUAAUUUGUCCAAUCUGUGCAAAAAUAUGGUAGAACAAGUAGAUUUUGACUUUUAAAGAGUUGUAGGACAGACAUUUGACACAAAGUAAUUCUAUUCAUACUGCUUUCCAUCUAAGCACAUGAUAGCUAUAUCAAACUGUCUCAAGAUAGCAUUUGUAGUUUGUAGUUCAUUGAAUAGAUAAUAAGAUCGAUGUCCGGACUUCACGUCAUGCUCCUAGAUCACUUACUCAAAUCCAAAUGCCUUCUUAACCUUUUUUGCUGGACAAAGUUGUCACCAAUAAAUAGUACAGGACAGCUUUUGGAUUUUGUUAGCUCACUUGUCCUAAUUUGAGACUUUGAUUUGAGGCAAACAAUGUUCUCCUGUAAUUUUUGUUUAUGUAGCUCUUAUGCUUCUUGUAACUUUGCAUCUUCUUGAUGCCUUCUUAAUGAAACAUAUUACUUCAUCAAAAAAAAAGAUCACCUAUAAUUGUUUGUUAUAUUUGUUUCUCUUUUGAUCUCUUGUUCUUGUUAACUUGCUACUCCUCUUUCUCUGUCUCUCUCCCUUUUGAUAAUAUGUGAGACACUUGUUGUUAGUUGAUUUGCAUAGUAUUAUAUAAGUAGCAUUGCAAAAAUACCAAAAUGAUGGGUGAGAGAAGUUACUUCGAUAGAGAAAAAGAACAUCAGAUUACAAGUUUAAAUAGGUAGUGAAAUGAAUUAAAUUCUAGAAACUUGUGAAAAUCGUUAUGAUUAGAUUAUUGGUGGAAAUAUAUUAAACAUCUUGAAGUUCGAAUGUUGUUAUUUGUAACGGUGGUGUUCAAGCCAGCGCACCUGUCUAUUUCACUUGGUACCUGCUACUACCCACUAGCGUAGGUACCAAGUGUGUGUGUUCACCAGCGCUUAGGUGGAUGGUAAGAUAUGACCUAGUGUUUUGGAAGUUCUGAUAUGGAAAGAGUAUUCUAUAAGUUGGGGCAAAAAGAUUACCAAACUGAUCAGUUUUUGCUGUCGGAGAAUUUUUUGUGAACCAUAUAAGAAGAAGGUAUAAGAGGGGUAGUUGUUCUGUUCAAUCAUCACAACUACAUCUAACCUGCAUCUUUCCACCCCUCAUCUUGACUAUCUGUUGCCAGUCUCCGCGUAGAUAAUAUGCUUUUUGAUUUAUGCAUGACAGGUUAAUGGAGUUGACAUCUGUAAGGUGCCUUAUAAACAGUAUCUCUCGAUUCAUUCAUCUUGUGACGUGUCUAACAUCAAAGACUAUGCCUGGUCAAAAGAGUUAUAAAAAUAUUGCGAUUUUGUUGAAGCUUUUAAAACCAGUACUUGAUGAUAUUGCUCAACAAAAAGCUCCUUCCGAUGAAACCAUAUCAAGGCAGUGUGAAGAACUGGACAUAGCCAUUAAUGAAGCUAGAGAAUUACUGGAAGAAUGGUCUCCUAAGAAGAGCAAGAUUCUCUGGGUAACGGCCAUUUUUAAUUUCCUUCUCUGUUGUAGACAUAUCCUCACAAAAUGAAGGAAAACUGAAUGCAACAUUUAGGAUCUUCUGUAGGUUGCAUGGCAGAGUUAAUUGAUCUGACUGUUGUUCCCUAAUUAAGUAUACGCUUUCAUGUUUCAGCUUCCAAGGAGUUCGCACUUUGUAAUUUCUGUUGCAUUUAUUUUGUUCAAACAUAAUUCAUUCUAAAAGGAUUCAUCAUCCAUGAUUAAAUUCUGUGCUGUCAAUGUUACAUUGAUUACUUGCCAGCACAUGAAGCUACCUCUUAUUGUGGUUAGGACCUGAGUGCCGUUGUCAUUUCCUUUACCUUUCGUGUUAGUUUGCUUUCUCUGUUUGAGACUAGUCGUUGUGGAUAAUUCUGAGGAAAUAGUCUUCCUCUCUAAGAAGAAUAAAACUCUUGGUUGCCUGUACAUGGUGUCCUCAACUGUCUUAUAGUGAGAGUUGGUGUUUUAUUGUGCUGUUGAUAAGUAUUAUGCUAUUUUAUUUGCUUUGAUUAUGUCAGACCAACUUUUUCUUAUGUUAGAUAAUGUUCGUGUAAUAAAGUCUUUAAAUACCUUACAUAAUCAGGCCUGCUCAGUAUAGAUCAUGUUAUGCACAGCUCCGAUUACUAUCUCAAAGUGCAGAAAUACUGAAGUGUUGUUAUCACAUAAAUAGAAUGGAUUUAUGUAUCACCUAUCAAAAAAAGGAAUGCACAUAUGUAUCUAGUAGACUAGUACUCUCAUUUUGGACAAACUUUCUGCAGGCUUUUUAUAUACUUGCCUUGCUGAGUAAGAUCAAUGUGUUGCAUUUAUCCAGCUGAUCUAAAUGGGGAUAAAUAUAAUAUCAAUAACCACGUCAAAUGCUCAUGUCUAAGCUCAUGAUUCAUGAGAAUGAUGUUCUUAUCAGUUCUCUAAUGCUUUUUUUUUGGUCUCCCUCCUUGGAGGAGAAGGGCGACCUUUUUAUUGAAAUCCGGAUAUGUAGUAAAUCUUUUACUUUUCAUCCUCCAUUUGUAAAAUCUGGAAAUUAGAUCAAGCUGCGCGCCUGAUAUCAUUCUACCAUAAAAUCUCCAGUUUGAAAAAAAUUAUUUCUUUUCAGUUAUCAUACAUGAGUUGAGCUUAAAUGAAGAAACAUGGUUAGUGAGGAUUCAUAUAGUCAACCAGACUUGUUUGGACUGAGCCACAGUUGUUAUAUCGUCCAGUUUUAUUGAAUUGAAGCAAAGUGACGGAAAAUCAAAUCUAGCCUAUCACAAGCUUUUCCAUUUCUAUUUUUUUGAUAAGAACUUAUUAGAUAUUUGAUAUUCCAGGUUUUCCAGAGCGAGCCACAAUUGCUGAAAAUCCAGAGCCUUGCACUCAAGAUAUCUCACAUUUUAAGUAAAUUAGUAGAAUCAUCACCAUCCACUUUGAGCCUUUCUGAAAUUCAGGUCUGGAGCAUUUUAAAUAUCACGAGUCUUUAGUUGUAUCCUUCAUUGUCUUGUUAAUAUUGCAUUAAAUCUAGCUCAGUUAAUUAUUUGAUCCUGACAUUAUCUGGACUGAUUGCAAUUUCCUGUGCUUCAGCACUUCAUACAGGAACUUCAGAAUUGCGAAGUGGGGAAAAUAUCAAAACACAUAAACGUGGCUCUUGAAGGAGGAAAGAUACUUCGUUCUGAAAGCCUGACAGAAAUUAUUCACUCCCUUAAUUUGACAUCUCACGAAGAACUGUUGAAUGAAUGUAUUGCAUUAGAGAAGGAGAGAAUGAAGGCUAAAGAUAAUAAAACAAGAGGAGAUUUGGAUAAGAUCACCAUUUCCGUUGACCUCUUCUCUCAUAUUCGUGAUUGCAUGCUUGAACUUGACACCUUAAAGGCCAUAGAUGGUAUUAAGAUCCCUCCUUAUUUCCGGUGUCCUUUGUCUCUGGAACUGAUGGUGAAUCCAGUCAUUAUUGCUUCAGGCCAAACUUAUGAGAAGACUUCGAUUCAAAAAUGGCUGGAUCAUGGACUAAGUACAUGCCCCAAAACCCUCCAAGUGCUCGCACAUUCAAAUCUUAUCCCAAACUACACUGUCAAGGCUCUGAUAGAAAAUUGGUGUGAAGAAAACAAGGUGAAACUGGACGACGGGAAUCUUGAGUCCACUCGUGAUGGAAUCUCAUCAAAAUCUGGACAUCUUACUGAUAUGGACGACAUGCGAGGUUCUUCAGAAACUAGCAAUUCAACAUCAAGACUUUCUCUUCAAGGUGGACAAGCUUUUGAAAGUCAGAAGAUUGAUUGCACCUCUGAAUUAAGUGAAGAAGAAUUUAGUGCAUGCCAUAUCAGGGAGGCUGAAAAAUCUGGCCACACAUCCUCAGGGGUUUCCUAUAGCCACAGCAGGAGCGAAUCAGUAUCAAGUGCUGUUUCCAGUAUUGAAUAUCUUCCCUCGGCGUCAACUGAUGUCUCCAGGAUAUCAAGCAAACAUGAUAAUGUGAGUGAUACAUCUGGAGAGGUACAAUGUGAUUACCGCGUUUCUUCUCCGUGUAACAAGAGUGUUGGGAAUUCUCCUAAUUUAUCUGCAAGGCAAUAUCACAGCUCCAAAACAAUGGGUGGAAUGGCUGUGAAUGGACUCCACAACCACGCUAGACAGCUUUCCUUACCAACAAAAUCAAUGCCUGAUGAUCUGACCACGAGUUCCCAUGUUGAAAAGCUUAUUAGAGACUUGGAUAGUCAAUCAACUGAGGUGCAAACGACGGCUGCAGCAGAAUUGCGGUUUCUUGCAAAGCACAACAUGGAAAACCGAGCUAUUAUAGGCCGAUGUGGGGCUAUUGCUCCACUCAUCUCUUUGCUACACUCUGAUGUGAAGUUAACUCAAGAGCAUGCUGUCACAGCACUACUAAACUUAUCAAUAAAUGAAGACAUCAAGGCCAUUAUUGCAGAACAAGGGGCGCUUGAACCCCUUAUCCAUGUCCUGAGAACAGGAAAUGCUGGAGCAAAAGAGAAUGCUGCGGCAGCUCUUUUUAGUCUGUCUCUUUUGGAAGAGUACAGGAAAAAGAUUGGGCGAUCUGGAGCAGUUAAAGCGUUGGUUGAUCUUCUUGGUUCGGGUACCAUCAGAGGGAAGAAAGAUGCUGCUACAGCAUUAUUUAACCUGUCAAUAUUUCAUGAAAAUAAGGCUCGCAUUGUUCAGGCUGGAGCUGUGAAGCAUCUCAUUAGGUUGUUGGACCCUUCAAAUGAAUUGGUCGAUAAGGCUGUUGCUCUUCUUGCAAAUUUGUCUACUAUUGCAGAGGGCUCCUUAGCUAUUGCCCGAGAAGGGGGUAUACCAUCACUAGUCGAGAUUGUUGAAACUGGAUCUCAGAGGGGAAAGGAAAAUGCUGCCUCAAUACUGCUGCAACUGUGUCUCAACAGUCCAAAGUAUUGUCGAUUAGUGUUGCAAGAAGGUGCUGUCCCACCUCUUGUUGCAUUGUCUCAGUCGGGCUCCCCAAGAGCAAAGGAGAAGGUACGUAGCUCGUCUUCUUUGAAGAGUGUUCUUAUUUGUCCAAUAACUAGAAAACGUUUUACUUAGGAAUAGAUUCUGCUCUUCUUAUGGGAGGGUUUGUAUGAUCUGGUAUGUAUCAGCGCUUGCGCUCUUGACAAACUUCAAGCUGCUUUUAACCACAUUGAAUAUACACCCACAGUGUGUGUGCCCUGAAACGCCAUGACACAUUUUUUUCUUUUUCUUUUUCUUUUUCUUUAUCCUUUUAUUUUUCAAUGUUAGUUAUCGCAGCUUCAGGGUGAUAACGUUUGUAUUUUUUUCUCCUUAUGGUGGAGCAGGCACAACAACUUCUCAGUCAUUUCCGCAGCCAGCGUGAAGGAGCCACGGGAAGGGGGAAGUCAUGAUGUAAAAGUUUUGACUCAUUGAUUCAUGCUGGUUUGCUAUGGGGUUCAAUAUUCAUAGAGUUGUUUUCUUUCAGGAGCAAUAUUUUUUUUAAGUUUCCCACAUUCUUGUUUGUUUUACCGUUAGGAAGUAGUUUGCUACUGGUUAGGAAUUUGAUAUGUAAAUGGUAGUAGAUUCUUGUGUUGUAGCUUUCACAAUUGGCAACAACUGCUAAUAAGGUUUUGUCCCUAUGGUUGCUUUUUCGUCUCUAGAAGACCAAUUGUUAGCUGGUAGAUAUUGUACAUGUGUGAAUACUGAUAUUAGAAUAUUUGCAUCGGGCCCAUCUCUUAAAGCA